UAGAAUACGGUUCUUCAAUCAAUUGAAUCCAUUUCUUCCAUUUGUUUGAUAUGUUUCAUCCCGAGAAAAAUCACAAUUACAGAGUUUUUGUUGUUCUAUAACAUUGGUUUGAUUCACGGUAUUGAACUAUAGCUAAGUUGCAGAUUGUUGAUUUUGAGAGGAUUUUUGCAGAUCUGAGAAGAUGAAGACAAUAAUCUAGGAAGAAGAAACCAUAUUGUUUCAGAAGAAUAACAAUAAAAUUAGAUAUGCAAGCAUUUUAAAAUAAAGGAAGACAAUAAGGAAAUAGAGCAUGUCUAGUGUUUUAACGCGUUUGUUGUGUUCAAUAACAACCGAUUAUAUAGUUGAUAAACAUAGAAAUUAUUUCAAAUUAAUAUUAAAGCAAUACAUAUAUUUUUUGUA
Papaver somniferum (opium poppy) is the source of this 399-nucleotide long non-coding RNA. RefSeq lists it as uncharacterized. The record is from RefSeq and is a predicted model, not a curated record. NCBI's taxonomy places the organism in Eukaryota, Viridiplantae, Streptophyta, Magnoliopsida, Ranunculales, Papaveraceae. The transcript has 3 exons.